UACGUAGGUGACGAGCGUUGUCCGGAUUUACUGGGCGUAAAGAGCGCGCAGGCGGUCGUUCAAGUCGAGUGUGAAAGCCCCCGGCUCAACUGGGGAGGGUCACUCGAUACUGAUCGACUGGAAGGCAGGAGAGGGUAGUGGAAUUCCCGGUGUAGUGGUGAAAUGCGUAGAUAUCGGGAGGAACACCAGUGGCGAAGGCGACUACCUGGCCUGUUCUUGACGCUGAGGCGCGAAAGCUAGGGGAGCAAACGGG
RNAcentral lists this ribosomal RNA (253 nucleotides) under uncultured bacterium. RNAcentral describes it as "partial 16S ribosomal RNA". It matches the Rfam family "Bacterial small subunit ribosomal RNA", at positions 524 to 776 of the family's 1533-position model. The record is from RNAcentral.